Molecule: ribosomal RNA, 440 nt
Filed under: uncultured bacterium
Lineage: Bacteria
Description: partial 16S ribosomal RNA
Rfam family: Bacterial small subunit ribosomal RNA
Source: RNAcentral
CCUACGGGAGGCAGCAGUGGGGAAUAUUGCACAAUGGGGGAAACCCUGAUGCAGCGACGCCGCGUGAGCGAUGAAGUAUUUCGGUAUGUAAAGCUCUAUCAGCAGGGAAGAAAAUGACGGUACCUGACUAAGAAGCCCCGGCUAACUACGUGCCAGCAGCCGCGGUAAUACGUAGGGGGCAAGCGUUAUCCGGAUUUACUGGGUGUAAAGGGAGCGUAGACGGUCCUGCAAGCCAGAUGUGAAAGCCCGGGGCUCAACCCCGGGGCUGCAUUUGGAACUGUAAGGCUGGAGUGUCGGAGGGGCAGGCGGAAUUCCUGGUGUAGCGGUGAAAUGCGUAGAUAUUAGGAGGAACACCAGUGGCGAAGGCGGCCUGCUGGACGAUGACUGACGUUGAGGCUCGAAAGCGUGGGGAGCAAACAGGAUUAGAUACCCUAGUAGUC